AUACUUACCUGGCAGGGGAGAUGCCAUGAUCAAGAAGGUUGUUCUCACAGGGAGAGGCUUGUCCGUUGCACUCCGGAUGUGCUGACCCCUGUGAUUUCUCCAAAUGUGGGAAACUCAACUGCAUAAUUUGUGGUAGUGGGGGACUGCGUUCACGCUUUCCUCUG
This 164-nucleotide small nuclear RNA is filed under the name Catagonus wagneri (Chacoan peccary). RNAcentral describes it as "U1 spliceosomal RNA (ENSCWAG00000011305.1)". It matches the Rfam family "U1 spliceosomal RNA". Rfam says of the family: U1 is a small nuclear RNA (snRNA) component of the spliceosome (involved in pre-mRNA splicing). Lineage: Eukaryota; Metazoa; Chordata; Mammalia; Artiodactyla; Tayassuidae. The record is from Rfam by way of RNAcentral.